Molecule: unclassified non-coding RNA, 172 nt
Filed under: Pestalotiopsis yanglingensis
Lineage: Eukaryota; Fungi; Ascomycota; Sordariomycetes; Amphisphaeriales; Sporocadaceae
Description: internal transcribed 1
Source: RNAcentral
ACCCAUGUGAACUUACCAUUGUUGCCUCGGCAGAAGCUACCCGGUACCUUACCUUGGAACGGCCUACCCUGUAGCGCCUUACCCUGGAACGGCUUACCCUGCAGCGGCUGCCGGUGGACUACCAAACUCUUGUUAUUUUUAUGUUAUCUGAGCGUCUUAUUUUAAUAAGUCA